This 440-nucleotide ribosomal RNA is filed under the name uncultured bacterium. RNAcentral's name for it is "partial 16S ribosomal RNA". It matches the Rfam family "Bacterial small subunit ribosomal RNA", at positions 338 to 795 of the family's 1533-position model. The record is from RNAcentral.
CCUACGGGGGGCUGCAGUGGGGAAUAUUGCACAAUGGGGGAAACCCUGAUGCAGCGACGCCGCGUGAGUGAAGAAGUAUUUCGGUAUGUAAAGCUCUAUUAGCAGGGAAGAAAAUGACGGUACCUGAUUAAGAAGCCCCGGCUACCUACGUGCCAUCAGCCGCGGCAAUACGUAGGGGGCAAGCGUUAUCCUGAUUUACUGGGUGUAAAGGGAGCGUAGGCGGCAGCGCAUGUCUGGAGUGAAAUGCCAGGGCUUAACCCCGGAACUGCAUUGGAAACUGUGCAGCUAGCGUGCAGGAGAGGUAAGUGGAAGUCCUGGUGUAGCGGUGAAAUGCGUAGAUAUUAGGAGGAACACCAGUGGCGAAGGCGGCUUACUGGACUGUAACUGACGUUGAGGCUCGAAAGCGUGGGGAGCAAACAGGAUUAGAUACCCCUGUAGUC